AACGCUAGCGGCAGGCUUAACACAUGCAAGUCGAGGGGUAACAGGGAGUGCUUGCACUCUGCUGACGACCGGCGCACGGGUGCGUAACGCGUAUGCAACCUACCUUCUACAGGGGGAUAGUCCAGAGAAAUUUGGCAUAAUACCCCAUACGAUCAUUUAUUGGCAUCGAUAGAUGAGGAAAACUCCGGUGGUAGAAGAUGGGCAUGCGUCCUAUUAGUUAGUUGGUAAGGUAACGGCUUACCAAGACAUCGAUAGGUAGGGGUCCUGAGAGGGAGAUCCCCCACACUGGUACUGAGACACGGACCAGACUCCUACGGGAGGCAGCAGUGAGGAAUAUUGGACAAUGGAGGCAACUCUGAUCCAGCCAUGCCGCGUGCAGGAAGACGGCCCUACGGGUUGUAAACUGCUUUUAUACAGGAAGAAACGCCGCUACGUGUAGCGGUUUGACGGUACUGUACGAAUAAGGAUCGGCUAACUCCGUGCCAGCAGCCGCGGUAAUACGGAGGAUCCAAGCGUUAUCCGGAAUCAUUGGGUUUAAAGGGUCCGUAGGCGGUUUUUUAAGUCAGAGGUGAAAUCCUGCAGCUCAACUGUAGCACUGCCUUUGAUACUGAAAGACUUGAGUUAUUGUGAAGUAGUUAGAAUGUGUAGUGUAGCGGUGAAAUGCAUAGAUAUUACACAGAAUACCGAUUGCGAAGGCAGAUUACUAACAAUAUACUGACGCUGAGGGACGAAAGCGUGGGUAGCGAACAGGAUUAGAUACCCUGGUAGUCCACGCCGUAAACGAU
This 785-nucleotide ribosomal RNA is filed under the name uncultured Bacteroidota bacterium. RNAcentral describes it as "bacterial SSU rRNA". It matches the Rfam family "Bacterial small subunit ribosomal RNA", at positions 32 to 810 of the family's 1533-position model. Lineage: Bacteria; Pseudomonadati; Bacteroidota. The record is from RNAcentral.